UUCUCAAAAGUUAGACCGUUCUUUUGAGGAGAGGAGGAACUCCGUCACGAGGAAUGAUGACCGCUACAACCUCCGACCAGUGGUGCGACAGUGAAGAAGGUCAUUUUGCGUAUAGGUCAUAAUUGAGGGAGUAUUAGUUGGCAUGCUUGGUGCAAACCACAAAUUCUGUUUGCGACACCUAUACAACUUCAACAAAAUAUUCAAGGGGAAGGCAUUGAAGGGUGCUGUUUGGGCUAUCGGGAAAUCAUACACUCCAAUAUGACUUUAUUCAAUACAUGGAAGUUAUCCAGAGCUGCUUCAAAGAUGCAUAUGACUAGAUUAGUAGAAUAGUCCUAGAGACAUGGUCCAAACAUGGGUUUGACUUUGUAGUUAACUUAGAUGACAUUACAAACAAUUGGACCAAGUCAUUUAAUUCCUAGAUUGGAAAGGCUAGAAUAAUACCCAUUGUUGAAAUGUUGGAAGAUAUACAGAAAAGAUGGAUGCAAAAUAUAUAUGAAAGACAUGAGGUUGCCAAUGCACCUGGUGUUGAGCUAUUACAAAAGGUGUAAUCAAUCAUUGAUAGGAGGGAAGCCAUUCAAUGUUUAAUUAGUAUACACCUUAUUUCCUUUUUUUGUUUUA
Non-coding RNA from Nelumbo nucifera (sacred lotus), 618 nucleotides. NCBI's taxonomy places the organism in Eukaryota, Viridiplantae, Streptophyta, Magnoliopsida, Proteales, Nelumbonaceae. The record is from RefSeq and is a predicted model, not a curated record.